This 483-nucleotide ribosomal RNA is filed under the name Microhyla sp. 3 VG-2020. RNAcentral's name for it is "partial large subunit ribosomal RNA". The stretch from base 165 to 483 matches the Rfam family "Bacterial large subunit ribosomal RNA", at positions 566 to 1033 of the family's 2925-position model. The record is from RNAcentral. Lineage: Eukaryota; Metazoa; Chordata; Amphibia; Anura; Microhylidae.
CUAAAAACUUAGCUUAUCUAAUUCUUAUGUACUCCCCCCCCCCACAAAUAAACUCAAUAAAACAUUUUUCACAUUAAGUAAAGGCGAUUAAAAAAUGUCUAAAAGCUAUAGAAACUAGUACCGCAAGGGAAAAGUGAAAUAAAAAUGAAAAACCUCAAGCACAAAAAAGCAGAGUUACAAUCUCGUACCUUUUGCAUCAUGGUCUAACUAGUCUAACCAAGCAAAAUGAAUUUUAAGUUUGACCCCCCGAAACUAGAUGAGCUACUUAAAAACAGCCUUUAGGGCCAACCCGUCCAUGUUGCAAAAUGGUGGGAAGAUUUUUAAGUAGAGGUGAUAGACCUACCGAAUCUAGAGAUAGCUGGUUAUUCAGGAAAAGGAUUUUAGUCCUACCUUAGGUUUACUAUAUAGUUUACAAUACUACCACAACCUUAAGAGCUAUUCAAAUAAGGUACAGCCUAUUUGAAACAGGAUACAACCUCUACU